CUUUUCUUAGUUUUUAAGUUCUUUUCCCAAUUGUCUUCAACCUCUCUUAAUUGUGUUUUGAAUUGCAUUUUGAGUUCUUCCAAAGCCUGUAUCCAAUUUGCUGGGAUUUCUGAUUUUUCCUUUGCUGAUCCUUCCCCCUCUCUUUCAUUUGCUCUUUGCUUGUGACUUGGGCAAAAGUUGUCUAUGGAAAUUUCUUUCUUUUUCUCCCGGUUUUUGGCUCCUUUUUUCCCCUUCUUUUCUCCCCGUAUUGGUCGGGGCUCUGGCUCCUCUCAUUUUUUGGGGGGGGGGGGGGCUUUUUGUCAGUCUCUUGGAGCUUUGUCAUAUCUCUCAGUAUAGUCUCUGGGGCAGAAAUGUUGGCUUCCCUCUCCUUUUGAGGCUUUUGAUUGGAUUAAUUUCAGCUGGGUUGGGUUGUAUGUUCUCUGAGGCUGAAAACUCCUGAAAGGUUGGAGCCAAAUGGAAGGUCUCAGCCACCCAGGUUCUCUCCAGUUCUCUCCAGCUGCUUCCCUGACACCUUCAUUUCACACUCUGAGCCUGGCACCACCCUGUGCACAAGGUACACCCUCUAGUCCAGUGCCUUUGCCCUCCCAAAGAUUCCUGUCCUUGCUGGAGGCCCUCAACUCUAAGGGGGGAGAGGUCCUGGCCUCCCAGGGCUCUGAGGACUCCUGAUGGGAUUAGGUUCAACUGAGUCUGGAUGUGCCCCAAGGCAAAAACCUCCAGUGAGACUGGAGCCAAAUGGAAGGACCCAGACACUGGGGCUGUCAGCUCUUCGAUCUCUCUUUGGCUGCUUCCCUUCCACCUGUAUUGUACACUCGGAGCUGGGGACAGCUCUGUUCACAAUGUAACCUCCAGACCAGCACCUUUGUCUGCCCAGAGGUUCCUGCUUCUGCUGGGGGCUCAGCAUUCUGAGUUGGUGGUGAGGGGUCCUGGGACCUUCUUUCUGCCUUCCCCUUAGACCUGAGUGUUCUCAGAUUCUGGCUUUUGGGGGGCGUACCUUUUGAAUUGAGUCCAGUAGGACAAUUCCCAGACUCUGUCCUGUUAUUAAGUUUGAAUUUCAG
Molecule: long non-coding RNA, 1055 nt
Filed under: Monodelphis domestica (gray short-tailed opossum)
Lineage: Eukaryota; Metazoa; Chordata; Mammalia; Didelphimorphia; Didelphidae
Description: lncRNA (ENSMODG00000039304.1)
Source: RNAcentral